Molecule: non-coding RNA, 1366 nt
Organism: Phalacrocorax carbo (great cormorant)
Lineage: Eukaryota; Metazoa; Chordata; Aves; Suliformes; Phalacrocoracidae
Source: RefSeq, a predicted model, not a curated record
CCGGCCCCGGCCCCGGCCCCGGCCCCGGCCCCGGCCCCGGCCCCUUGUGUCGUUCCCUUGCCCUGCAGCCCGGGCACGGCACUGCCCCUCCACAGUCAUAACAGGGUGCUUUUAGGAGGAGCGCUGCUGAGGCCUAGGGGGGGAAAAUGGGGGGUGUGUGUGUGUGGGGAGAAUGAAAGGCAAAAGGAGGAUUUAGUGCCGGGAGCCCCUGCGGGAGGACCGGGGGUCGGGGGGGGGGGGCGGCCUCCCGCCGCGGCUCGGUCCGGCGCUUCCUCCCCGGGCAGCGGCGGCGCACGGCGGCGGUGCGGUCUCCACCUGCCCGCGGGGGGAGCGGCCCCGGCCCCGGUCCCGGCCCCGCCGCCUCGCUCGGCACCCCGCGGGGCAGCGGCUCCGGGGCCGGGGUCCGCCCGGGCGGCGACGCGAGCUCCUCUCCCCAAAGACAAGGUCAAGGAUGAAGGGUCAAUGUCAAGUUGUCUUAGCGGUGGAAGGCGACCGUCCGCGGCAGCACUCCUUCCUUUCCGCGUUUCUGGUGUCCUUGAUUGAUUUGAAAGUGCCAUUUUGAGGGGGAAACGCACCCGGCCACCGAGAAGACGUGAGGGCUUCGCUUUUCCUUCGGAGGGCGAAGAAGGGACGGUGGUAACUUUCAGGGACCCUCGGAAGGCUGAGUCCUGCCCACGCGAACCCUCCGGGAGGUAGGAUGCAAUGUCAUGGCUCCCCGAUAAGCACGCGUAACCUAUCGGCCGCAGGGGCACCCCGCUCGUCCCUUUUCCGCGUGGACGCUACGGGAAAGCGAAUUUGAAUGUAAACACGCGUGAUGCGGCGCGGGGCGGCGCGUCAGCGAGGGAACCUGCGUGGCAGCAGGCGCGGUGCUUGCCCCGGCGCUGCCCCGCGGGGGAAGCCGCGGCGGCAGCCGGGCGGGGCGGGAGGCGGCCGCGGCCUGACCGACAGACACCGUCGCCCCAGGCACGACCAGCUCCGCAGGGAUGAACCUGCGGCCCGGGCGGCUGGAGGGAGGCGGCAGGGCUUCUGCGCCUGGCUCUCCUUUCAACGUCGGUCGCUUCUUGCUUUGCAAUUACAUUUUCCUGUACCGAUUCCCCCACCCACGCUUGUUUGUGAAGAUACAAAGGGGGCAAGUAACGAACCGCCUACACACGGAGCAGGGAAAGCAGCUAUGCUCAAAUCGCCGCUGACCCCCGCUCCCACUCCCAUGAAAGGGGAAAAAAGCGCGCAUUUUUGCGGGCCUCAUGAUGAUAAUUCUCGGCCAGAAGCAAUGGUGCUAACAGUUUUGUAAACAAAAAUAUGAAUUAUGAUUUCUUUCAGUUAACUCGAGAAAGGUAAAUGUAUAAAUAAAACCCAUGUAUUCAAA